Non-coding RNA from Salvelinus sp. IW2-2015, 449 nucleotides. The record is from RefSeq and is a predicted model, not a curated record. NCBI's taxonomy places the organism in Eukaryota, Metazoa, Chordata, Actinopteri, Salmoniformes, Salmonidae.
GUAUCUCUGUGUAAACCUGGCCCCUACGUCUCUCUGUGUAAACCUGUCCCUACGUCUCUCUGUGUAAACCUGUCCCCUACGUCUCUCUGUGUAAACCUGUCCCCUACGUCUCUCUGUCCCUCUCUGUUUAAACCUGUCUCUCUGUCCCUCUCUGUGUAGCUGUGAAGCCCUCUGAGCCAGGGAAGAGGUCCAGGUGGGAUGUGUCUGGCCAGGCUGGGGACAAGGAGAGGAAGGAGAAGGAUCCGGUCAGUGAGUUCCUCAGUGUGGCUCGUAUUGAAGCCUCUGGGUCAGGACCAGAAACCUCUACUACUGAUGACCCUACAACAGAUCCUACUGGAGAGGUACUGGUACCAUCCGACAUCACUGAUCCUACUGUAGAGGUACUGGUACCAUCCUACUACACUACAUCACUGAUCCUACUGUAGAGGUACUGGUACCAUACUACUACA